GAUGAACGCUGGCGGCGUGCCUAAUACAUGCAAGUCGAGCGAACAGACGAGGAGCUUGCUCCUCUGACGUUAGCGGCGGACGGGUGAGUAACACGUGGAUAACCUACCUAUAAGACUGGGAUAACUUCGGGAAACCGGAGCUAAUACCGGAUAAUAUAUUGAACCGCAUGGUUCAAUAGUGAAAGACGGUUUUGCUGGCACUUAUAGAGGGAUCCGCGCCGCAUUAGCUAGUUGGUAAGGUAACGGCUUACCAAGGCAACGAUGCGUAGCCGACCUGAGAGGGUGAUCGGCCACACUGGAACUGAGCCACGGUCCAUACUCCUGCGGGAGGCAGCAGUAGGCAAUCUUCCGCAAUGGUCGAAAGCCUUACGGAGCAACGCCGCGUGAGUGAUGAAGGCCCUCGGAUCGUAAAACUCGGUUAUUAGGUAAGAACAAAUGUGUAAGUAACUAUGCACGUCUUGACGGUACCUAAUCAGAAAGCCCCGGCUAACUACGUG
This 497-nucleotide ribosomal RNA is filed under the name uncultured bacterium. Its description in RNAcentral is "partial 16S ribosomal RNA". It matches the Rfam family "Bacterial small subunit ribosomal RNA", at positions 28 to 507 of the family's 1533-position model. The record is from RNAcentral.